UUGAAGAGUUUGAUCAUGGCUCAGAUUGAACGCUGGCGGCAGGCCUAACACAUGCAAGUCGAACGGUAACAGAAAGCAGCUUGCUGCUUUGCUGACGAGUGGCGGACGGGUGAGUAAUGUCUGGGAAACUGCCUGAUGGAGGGGGAUAACUACUGGAAACGGUAGCUAAUACCGCAUAACGUCGCAAGACCAAAGAGGGGGACCUUCGGGCCUCUUGCCAUCGGAUGUGCCCAGAUGGGAUUAGCUUGUUGGUGGGGUAACGGCUCACCAAGGCGACGAUCCCUAGCUGGUCUGAGAGGAUGACCAGCCACACUGGAACUGAGACACGGUCCAGACUCCUACGGGAGGCAGCAGUGGGGAAUAUUGCACAAUGGGCGCAAGCCUGAUGCAGCCAUGCCGCGUGUAUGAAGAAGGCCUUCGGGUUGUAAAGUACUUUCAGCGGGGAGGAAGGGAGUAAAGUUAAUACCUUUGCUCAUUGACGUUACCCGCAGAAGAAGCACCGGCUAACUCCGUGCCAGCAGCCGCGGUAAUACGGAGGGUGCAAGCGUUAAUCGGAAUUACUGGGCGUAAAGCGCACGCAGGCGGUUUGUUAAGUCAGAUGUGAAAUCCCCGGGCUCAACCUGGGAACUGCAUCUGAUACUGGCAAGCUUGAGUCUCGUAGAGGGGGGUAGAAUUCCAGGUGUAGCGGUGAAAUGCGUAGAGAUCUGGAGGAAUACCGGUGGCGAAGGCGGCCCCCUGGACGAAGACUGACGCUCAGGUGCGAAAGCGUGGGGAGCAAACAGGAUUAGAUACCCUGGUAGUCCACGCCGUAAACGAUGUCGACUUGGAGGUUGUGCCCUUGAGGCGUGGCUUCCGGAGCUAACGCGUUAAGUCGACCGCCUGGGGAGUACGGCCGCAAGGUUAAAACUCAAAUGAAUUGACGGGGGCCCGCACAAGCGGUGGAGCAUGUGGUUUAAUUCGAUGCAACGCGAAGAACCUUACCUGGUCUUGACAUCCACGGAAGUUUUCAGAGAUGAGAAUGUGCCUUCGGGAACCGUGAGACAGGUGCUGCAUGGCUGUCGUCAGCUCGUGUUGUGAAAUGUUGGGUUAAGUCCCGCAACGAGCGCAACCCUUAUCCUUUGUUGCCAGCGGUCCGGCCGGGAACUCAAAGGAGACUGCCAGUGAUAAACUGGAGGAAGGUGGGGAUGACGUCAAGUCAUCAUGGCCCUUACGACCAGGGCUACACACGUGCUACAAUGGCGCAUACAAAGAGAAGCGACCUCGCGAGAGCAAGCGGACCUCAUAAAGUGCGUCGUAGUCCGGAUUGAGUCUGCAACUCGACUCCAUGAAGUCGGAAUCGCUAGUAAUCGUGGAUCAGAAUGCCACGGUGAAUACGUUCCCGGGCCUUGUACACACCGCCCGUCACACCAUGGGAGUGGGUUGCAAAAGAAGUAGGUAGCUUAACCUUCGGGAGGGCGCUUACCACUUUGUGAUUCAUGACUGGGGUGAAGUCGUAACAAGGUAACCGUAGGGGAACCUGCGGUUGGAUCACCUCCUU
This 1537-nucleotide ribosomal RNA is filed under the name Escherichia coli. RNAcentral's name for it is "bacterial SSU rRNA". It matches the Rfam family "Bacterial small subunit ribosomal RNA". The record is from RNAcentral. Lineage: Bacteria; Pseudomonadati; Pseudomonadota; Gammaproteobacteria; Enterobacterales; Enterobacteriaceae.